GCGAACGGGUGAGUAACACGUGGGCAAUCUGCCCUUCACUCUGGGACAAGCCCUGGAAACGGGGUCUAAUACCGGAUAACACUCUGUCCCGCAUGGGACGGGGUUGAAAGCUCCGGCGGUGAAGGAUGAGCCCGCGGCCUAUCAGCUUGUUGGUGGGGUGAUGGCCUACCAAGGCGACGACGGGUAGCCGGCCUGAGAGGGCGACCGGCCACACUGGGACUGAGACACGGCCCAGACUCCUACGGGAGGCAGCAGUGGGGAAUAUUGCACAAUGGGCGAAAGCCUGAUGCAGCGACGCCGCGUGAGGGAUGACGGCCUUCGGGUUGUAAACCUCUUUCAGCAGGGAAGAAGCGAGAGUGACGGUACCUGCAGAAGAAGCGCCGGCUAACUACGUGCCAGCAGCCGCGGUAAUACGUAGGGCGCAAGCGUUGUCCGGAAUUAUUGGGCGUAAAGAGCUCGUAGGCGGCUUGUUGCGUCGGUUGUGAAAGCCCGGGGCUUAACCCCGGGUCUGCAGUCGAUACGGGCAGGCUAGAGUGUGGUAGGGGAGAUCGGAAUUCCUGGUGUAGCGGUGAAAUGCGCAGAUAUCAGGAGGAACACCGGUGGCGAAGGCGGAUCUCUGGGCCAUUACUGACGCUGAGGAGCGAAAGCGUGGGGAGCGAACAGGAUUAGAUACCCUGGUAGUCCA
Molecule: ribosomal RNA, 685 nt
Filed under: Streptomyces sp. HW_1_3
Lineage: Bacteria; Bacillati; Actinomycetota; Actinomycetes; Kitasatosporales; Streptomycetaceae
Description: bacterial SSU rRNA
Rfam family: Bacterial small subunit ribosomal RNA
Source: RNAcentral